UAGGGAAUCUUCGGCAAUGGGGGCAACCCUGACCGAGCAACGCCGCGUGAGUGAAGAAGGUUUUCGGAUCGUAAAGCUCUGUUGUAAGAGAAGAACGUGUGUGAGAGUGGAAAGUUCACACAGUGACGGUAACUUACCAGAAAGGGACGGCUAACUACGUGCCAGCAGCCGCGGUAAUACGUAGGUCCCGAGCGUUGUCCGGAUUUAUUGGGCGUAAAGCGAGCGCAGGCGGUUUAAUAAGUCUGAAGUUAAAGGCAGUGGCUUAACCAUUGUUCGCUUUGGAAACUGUUAAACUUGAGUGCAGAAGGGGAGAGUGGAAUUCCAUGUGUAGCGGUGAAAUGCGUAGAUAUAUGGAGGAACACCGGUGGCGAAAGCGGCUCUCUGGUCUGUAACUGACGCUGAGGCUCGAAAUCGUGGGGAGCAAACAGG
Molecule: ribosomal RNA, 429 nt
Filed under: bacterium
Lineage: Bacteria
Description: partial 16S ribosomal RNA
Rfam family: Bacterial small subunit ribosomal RNA
Source: RNAcentral